UAAAUACUCGCUCCGUCCCAAUUUUUUUGUCUUAGACUUCUCUAAAUAUGGAUGUAUCUAGUCACGUUUUAGUGCUAGAUACAUCCGUAUCUAGAUAAAUCCUAGACAGGAAUUUUGGAAGGUAGUAUAAG
Non-coding RNA from Hordeum vulgare subsp. vulgare (domesticated barley), 131 nucleotides. The record is from Rfam. Lineage: Eukaryota; Viridiplantae; Streptophyta; Magnoliopsida; Poales; Poaceae.